GGGUUGUGAGGUUAAGCGACUAAGCGUACACGGUGGAUGCCCUGGCAGUCAGAGGCGAUGAAGGACGUGCUAAUCUGCGAUAAGCGCCGGUAAGGUGAUAUGAACCGUUAUAACCGGCGAUUUCCGAAUGGGGAAACCCAGUGUGAUUCGUCACACUAUCAUUAACUGAAUCCAUAGGUUAAUGAGGCGAACCGGGGGAACUGAAACAUCUAAGUACCCCGAGGAAAAGAAAUCAACCGAGAUUCCCCCAGUAGCGGCGAGCGAACGGGGAGGAGCCCAGAGCCUGAAUCAGCAUGUGUGUUAGUGGAAGCGUCUGGAAAGGCGCGCGAUACAGGGUGACAGCCCCGUACACAAAAGCGCAUGUGCUGUGAGCUCGAUGAGUAGGGCGGGACACGUGGUAUCCUGUCUGAAUAUGGGGGGACCAUCCUCCAAGGCUAAAUACUCCUGACUGACCGAUAGUGAACCAGUACCGUGAGGGAAAGGCGAAAAGAACCCCGGCGAGGGGAGUGAAAAAGAACCUGAAACCGUGUACGUACAAGCAGUGGGAGCACAGGUUUACCUGUGUGACUGCGUACCUUUUGUAUAAUGGGUCAGCGACUUAUAUUCUGUAGCAAGGUUAACCGUAUAGGGGAGCCGGAGGGAAACCGAGUCUUAAUUGGGCGUUAAGUUGCAGGGUAUAGACCCGAAACCCGGUGAUCUAGCCAUGGGCAGGUUGAAGGUUGGGUAACACUAACUGGAGGACCGAACCGACUAAUGUUGAAAAAUUAGCGGAUGACCUGUGGCUGGGGGUGAAAGGCCAAUCAAACCGGGAGAUAGCUGGUUCUCCCCGAAAGCUAUUUAGGUAGCGCCUCGUGAAUUCAUCUCCGGGGGUAGAGCACUGUUUCGGCUAGGGGGCCAUCCCGGCUUACCAACCCGAUGCAAACUGCGAAUACCGGAGAAUGUUAUCACGGGAGACACACGGCGGGUGCUAACGUCCGUCGUGAAGAGGGAAACAACCCAGACCGCCAGCUAAGGUCCCAAAGUCAUGGUUAAGUGGGAAACGAUGUGGGAAGGCCCAGACAGCCAGGAUGUUGGCUUAGAAGCAGCCAUCAUUUAAAGAAAGCGUAAUAGCUCACUGGUCGAGUCGGCCUGCGCGGAAGAUGUAACGGGGCUAAACCAUGCACCGAAGCUGCGGCAGCGAACGUAUCACUUAAAGCGAUUCAGCGGGUUACGAUUGACGGAGCGAAGCGACGUCAAAGCGUAUACAAAGUCGAGUCGGUUUAAGGAUACGUUCGUUGGGUAGGGGAGCGUUCUGUAAGCCUGCGAAGGUGGCCUGUGAGGGUUGCUGGAGGUAUCAGAAGUGCGAAUGCUGACAUAAGUAACGAUAAAGCGGGUGAAAAGCCCGCUCGCCGGAAGACCAAGGGUUCCUGUCCAACGUUAAUCGGGGCAGGGUGAGUCGACCCCUAAGGCGAGGCCGAAAGGCGUAGUCGAUGGGAAACGGGUUAAUAUUCCCGUACUUGGUGUUACUGCGAAGGGGGGACGGAGAAGGCUAUGUUGGCCGGGCGACGGUUGUCCCGGUUUAAGCGUGUAGGUGUGUGUUCCAGGUAAAUCCGGUUCACUUUAACACUGAGGCGUGACGACGAGGCACUACGGUGCUGAAGCAACAAAUGCCCUGCUUCCAGGAAAAGCCUCUAAGCAUCAGGUAACAUCAAAUCGUACCCCAAACCGACACAGGUGGUCAGGUAGAGAAUACCAAGGCGCUUGAGAGAACUCGGGUGAAGGAACUAGGCAAAAUGGUGCCGUAACUUCGGGAGAAGGCACGCUGACACGUAGGUGAAGUGAUUUACUCAUGGAGCUGAAGUCAGUCGAAGAUACCAGCUGGCUGCAACUGUUUAUUAAAAACACAGCACUGUGCAAACACGAAAGUGGACGUAUACGGUGUGACGCCUGCCCGGUGCCGGAAGGUUAAUUGAUGGGGUCAGCGCAAGCGAAGCUCCUGAUCGAAGCCCCGGUAAACGGCGGCCGUAACUAUAACGGUCCUAAGGUAGCGAAAUUCCUUGUCGGGUAAGUUCCGACCUGCACGAAUGGCGUAAUGAUGGCCAGGCUGUCUCCACCCGAGACUCAGUGAAAUUGAACUCGCUGUGAAGAUGCAGUGUACCCGCGGCAAGACGGAAAGACCCCGUGAACCUUUACUAUAGCUUGACACUGAACAUUGAGCCUUGAUGUGUAGGAUAGGUGGGAGGCUUUGAAGUGUGGACGCCAGUCUGCAUGGAGCCGACCUUGAAAUACCACCCUUUAAUGUUUGAUGUUCUAACGUAGACCCGUGAUCCGGGUUGCGGACAGUGUCUGGUGGGUAGUUUGACUGGGGCGGUCUCCUCCUAAAGAGUAACGGAGGAGCACGAAGGUUGGCUAAUCCUGGUCGGACAUCAGGAGGUUAGUGCAAUGGCAUAAGCCAGCUUGACUGCGAGCGUGACGGCGCGAGCAGGUGCGAAAGCAGGUCAUAGUGAUCCGGUGGUUCUGAAUGGAAGGGCCAUCGCUCAACGGAUAAAAGGUACUCCGGGGAUAACAGGCUGAUACCGCCCAAGAGUUCAUAUCGACGGCGGUGUUUGGCACCUCGAUGUCGGCUCAUCACAUCCUGGGGCUGAAGUAGGUCCCAAGGGUAUGGCUGUUCGCCAUUUAAAGUGGUACGCGAGCUGGGUUUAGAACGUCGUGAGACAGUUCGGUCCCUAUCUGCCGUGGGCGCUGGAGAACUGAGGGGGGCUGCUCCUAGUACGAGAGGACCGGAGUGGACGCAUCACUGGUGUUCGGGUUGUCAUGCCAAUGGCACUGCCCGGUAGCUAAAUGCGGAAGAGAUAAGUGCUGAAAGCAUCUAAGCACGAAACUUGCCCCGAGAUGAGUUCUCCCUGAGACUUAAAGUCUCCUGAAGGAACGUUGAAGACGACGACGUUGAUAGGCCGGGUGUGUAAGCGCAGCGAUGCGUUGAGCUAACCGGUACUAAUGAACCGUGAGGCUUAACCUUACAACGCCGAAG
This 3010-nucleotide ribosomal RNA is filed under the name Salmonella enterica subsp. enterica serovar Karamoja. Its description in RNAcentral is "23S ribosomal RNA". It matches the Rfam family "Bacterial large subunit ribosomal RNA". Lineage: Bacteria; Pseudomonadati; Pseudomonadota; Gammaproteobacteria; Enterobacterales; Enterobacteriaceae. The record is from RNAcentral.